This 120-nucleotide ribosomal RNA is filed under the name uncultured bacterium. RNAcentral describes it as "partial 16S ribosomal RNA". It matches the Rfam family "Bacterial small subunit ribosomal RNA", at positions 29 to 149 of the family's 1533-position model. The record is from RNAcentral.
AACGAACGCUGGCGGCAUGCUUAACACAUGCAAGUCGAACGUGAUCCGGGGCUUGCCCCGGUGAAAGUGGCGGACGGGUGAGUAACGCGUGGGAACCUGCCCAGUGGUAGGGGAUAACCG